RNAcentral lists this ribosomal RNA (425 nucleotides) under uncultured prokaryote. RNAcentral's name for it is "partial 16S ribosomal RNA". It matches the Rfam family "Bacterial small subunit ribosomal RNA", at positions 355 to 796 of the family's 1533-position model. The record is from RNAcentral.
UGAGGAAUAUUGCACAAUGGGGGCAACCCUGAUGCAGCAACGCCGCGUGGAGGAUGAAGGCUUUUGAGUUGUAAACUCCUUUUCUGAGGGAAGAGUAAGGACGGUACCUCAGGAAUAAGGCCCGGCUAACUACGUGCCAGCAGCCGCGGUAAUACGUAGGGGUCAAGCGUUAUCCGGAAUUACUGGGCGUAAAGCGCACGCAGGCGGCUUGCCAAGUCCGAUGUGAAAGCUCCCGGCUUAACUGGGAGAGGUCGUUGGAUACUGGUAGGCUUGAGGCAGUGAGAGGGGUACGGAAUUCCCGGUGUAGUGGUGGAAUGCGUAGAUAUCGGGAGGAACACCAGUGGCGAAAGCGGUACCCUGGCACUGUUCUGACGCUCAGGUGCGAAAGCGUGGGGAGCGAACGGGAUUAGAUACCCCCGUAGUCC